CAUAGUUCCUGGUUGUAGCGGGAGCCCUUAUCUCUAGGUUCUAGUACUAGCCAUGGAUUCCUUUGUCUGAUACUAAGCUUUGGUGAGAGGCCAAUUUUAGUCUUUAUCUCCAAAGACAUCUGAGACCAGUAUUACUACUUCUGGAGACAUGGUUACAUUACCUACAUGCAUUUAAGAUCAUUGCAUUUGCUUCUGAGGAAGGACGUAAGUCCGAAAGCGCUUAAGCAGACAGACGAGCCAGACGAGGAUUGGAGCUGCGACCUGGGACCGGUGGAGACGCUGGAACUUGGGGACUUUGCGGUGAUUAUACCCGGGAGACCUGAUCAGGCUUGCAGUCCUAUGUGGAUAUUUUAUGCUGAUUUUAAUUAGAUGUUUUGUGAGUGCAUUCCUUAUUAAAAAAUGUUGUCUUUGAAAAAAGACGGUGUUGCACUAUUAUCCUUAUUUCUUAUUUCAAGAGUCCUAUGGAGGAGGAUUCAGCCGUGGAGUGAAAACUACCCUUCAUGUCUUGUGAUUUUCUACAUGCAAUCUAUUUCACAUUUAUAUGUGAGUGGGACCAUUAA
Long non-coding RNA from Pseudophryne corroboree (corroboree frog), 560 nucleotides. RefSeq lists it as uncharacterized. NCBI's taxonomy places the organism in Eukaryota, Metazoa, Chordata, Amphibia, Anura, Myobatrachidae. The transcript is spliced from 3 exons. The record is from RefSeq and is a predicted model, not a curated record.